Molecule: ribosomal RNA, 453 nt
Filed under: uncultured bacterium
Lineage: Bacteria
Description: bacterial SSU rRNA
Rfam family: Bacterial small subunit ribosomal RNA
Source: RNAcentral
GAUGAACGCUGGCGGCGUGCUUAACACAUGCAAGUCGAACGGGAUCCCAGGAGCUUGCUCCUGGGUGAGAGUGGCGAACGGGUGAGUAAUGCGUGACCGACCUGCCCCAUACACCGGAAUAGCUCCUGGAAACGGGUGGUAAUGCCGGAUGCUCCAGUUGACCGCAUGGUCCUCUGGGAAAGAUUCAUCGGUAUGGGAUGGGGUCGCGUCCUAUCAGCUUGAUGGCGGGGUAACGGCCCACCAUGGCUUCGACGGGUAGCCGGCCUGAGAGGGCGACCGGCCACAUUGGGACUGAGAUACGGCCCAGACUCCUACGGGAGGCAGCAGUGGGGAAUAUUGCACAAUGGGCGCAAGCCUGAUGCAGCGACGCCGCGUGCGGGAUGACGGCCUUCGGGUUGUAAACCGCUUUUGACUGGGAGCAAGCCCUUCGGGGUGAGUGUACCUUUCGAAUAA